GGGAUUGCCCUAGUAACGGCGAGUGAAGCGGCAACAGCUCAAAUUUGAAAUCUGGCGCAAGCCCGAGUUGUAAUUUGUAGAGGAUGCUUCUGGGUAGCGACCGGUCUAAGUUCCUUGGAACAGGACGUCAUAGAGGGUGAGAAUCCCGUAUGUGACCGGCCCGCACCCUUCACGUAGCUCCUUCGACGAGUCGAGUUGUUUGGGAAUGCAGCUCUAAAUGGGAGGUAAAUUUCUUCUAAAGCUAAAUACCGGCCAGAGACCGAUAGCGCACAAGUAGAGUGAUCGAAAGAUGAAAAGUACUUUGGAAAGAGAGUUAAAAAGCACGUGAAAUUGUUGAAAGGGAAGCGCCUGCAAUCAGACUUCGCGGCAGUGUUCCGCCGGUCUUCUGACCGGUUUAUUCUCUGUCGCGAGGCCAUCAUCGUCUCGGCCCGCUGGAUAAGACCUUAGGAAUGUAGCUCACCUUCGGGGGAGUGUUAUAGCUUCUGGUGAUGCAGCGAGGCUGGGGCGAGGUCCGCGCUUCGGCAAGGAUGAUGGCGUAAUGGUUGUCGGCGGCCCGUCUUGAAACACGGACCAAGGAGUCUAACAUCUAUGCGAGUGUUCGGGUGUCAAACCCCUACGCGUAAUGAAAGUGAACGGAGGUGGGAACCGCAAGGUGCACCAUCGACCGAUCCUGAUGUCCUCGGAUGGAUUUGAGUAAGAGCAUAGCUGUUGGGACCCGAAAGAUGGUGAACUAUGCCUGAAUAGGGUGAAGCCAGAGGAAACUCUGGUGGAGGCUCGCAGCGGUUCUGACGUGCAAAUCGAUCGUCAAAUUUGGGUAUAGGGGCG
Molecule: ribosomal RNA, 825 nt
Filed under: Sphaerulina socia
Lineage: Eukaryota; Fungi; Ascomycota; Dothideomycetes; Mycosphaerellales; Mycosphaerellaceae
Description: eukaryotic LSU rRNA
Rfam family: Eukaryotic large subunit ribosomal RNA
Source: RNAcentral